Molecule: ribosomal RNA, 2203 nt
Filed under: human gut metagenome
Description: bacterial LSU rRNA
Rfam family: Bacterial large subunit ribosomal RNA
Source: RNAcentral
UUAAGUUAUUAAGGGCGCACGGUGGAUGCCUUGGCACUAGAAGCCGAUGAAGGACGUUACUAACGACGAUAUGCUUUGGGUAGCUGUAAGUAAGCGUUGAUCCAGAGAUUUCCGAAUGGGGGAACCCAGCAUGAGUUAUGUCAUGUUAUCGACAUGUGAAUUUAUAGCAUGUCAGAAGGCAGACCCGGAGAACUGAAACAUCUUAGUACCCGGAGGAAGAGAAAGAAAAAUCGAUUCCCUGAGUAGCGGCGAGCGAAACGGGAAGAGCCCAAACCAACAAGCUUGCUUGUUGGGGUUGUAGGACACUCUAUACGGAGUUACAAAAGAACAUGUUAGACGAAUCAUCUGGAAAGAUGAAUCAAAGAAGGUAAUAAUCCUGUAGUCGAAAACAUAUUCUCUCUUGAGUGGAUCCUGAGUACGACGGAGCACGUGAAAUUCCGUCGGAAUCUGGGAGGACCAUCUCCUAAGGCUAAAUACUCUCUAGUGACCGAUAGUGAACCAGUACCGUGAGGGAAAGGUGAAAAGUACCCCGGGAGGGGAGUGAAAGAGAACCUGAAACCGUGUGCUUACAAGUAGUCAGAGCCCGUUAAUGGGUGAUGGCGUGCCUUUUGUAGAAUGAACCGGCGAGUUACGAUCUGAUGCAAGGUUAAGCAGCAAAUGUGGAGCCGCAGCGAAAGCGAGUCUGAAUAGGGCGUUGAGUAUUUGGUCGUAGACCCGAAACCAGGUGAUCUACCCUUGGUCAGGUUGAAGUUUAGGUAACACUGAAUGGAGGACCGAACCGACUUACGUUGAAAAGUGAGCGGAUGAACUGAGGGUAGCGGAGAAAUUCCAAUCGAACUUGGAGAUAGCUGGUUCUCUCCGAAAUAGCUUUAGGGCUAGCCUCAAGUGAUGAUUAUUGGAGGUAGAGCACUGUUUGGACGAGGGGCCCCUCUCGGGUUACCGAAUUCAGACAAACUCCGAAUGCCAAUUAAUUUAACUUGGGAGUCAGAACAUGGGUGAUAAGGUCCGUGUUCGAAAGGGAAACAGCCCAGACCACCAGCUAAGGUCCCAAAAUAUAUGUUAAGUGGAAAAGGAUGUGGCGUUGCACAGACAACUAGGAUGUUGGCUUAGAAGCAGCCAUCAUUUAAAGAGUGCGUAAUAGCUCACUAGUCGAGUGACGCUGCGCCGAAAAUGUACCGGGGCUAAACAUAUUACCGAAGCUGUGGAUUGUCCUUUGGACAAUGGUAGGAGAGCGUUCUAAGGGCGUCGAAGCAUGAUCGCAAGGACAUGUGGAGCGCUUAGAAGUGAGAAUGCCGGUAUGAGUAGCGAAAGACAGGUGAGAAUCCCGUCCACCGAUUGACUAAGGUUUCCAGAGGAAGGCUCGUCCGCUCUGGGUUAGUCGGGUCCUAAGCUGAGGCCGACAGGCGUAGGCGAUGGACAACAGGUUGAUAUUCCUGUACCACCUAGUAUCGUUUUAAUCGAUGGGGGGACGCAGUAGGAUAGGCGAAGCGUGCUGUUGGAGUGCACGUCCAAGCAGUAAGGCUGAGUGUUAGGCAAAUCCGGCACUCAUAAGGCUGAGCUGUGAUGGGGAGAGGAAAUUGUUUCCUCGAGUCGUUGAUUUCACACUGCCGAGAAAAGCCUCUAGAUAGAUAACAGGUGCCCGUACCGCAAACCGACACAGGUAGUCAAGAUGAGAAUUCUAAGGUGAGCGAGCGAACUCUCGUUAAGGAACUCGGCAAAAUGACCCCGUAACUUCGGGAGAAGGGGUGCUCUUUAGGGUUCACGCCCAGAAGAGCCGCAGUGAAUAGGCCCAAGCGACUGUUUAUCAAAAACACAGGUCUCUGCUAAACCGUAAGGUGAUGUAUAGGGGCUGACGCCUGCCCGGUGCUGGAAGGUUAAGAGGAGUGGUUAGCUUCUGCGAAGCUACGAAUCGAAGCCCCAGUAAACGGCGGCCGUAACUAUAACGGUCCUAAGGUAGCGAAAUUCCUUGUCGGGUAAGUUCCGACCCGCACGAAAGGCGUAACGAUUUGGGCACUGUCUCAACGAGAGACUCGGUGAAAUCAUAGUACCUGUGAAGAUGCAGGUUACCCGCGACAGGACGGAAAGACCCCAUGGAGCUUUACUGUAGCCUGAUAUUGAAAUUCGGCACAGCUUGUACAGGAUAGGUAGGAGCCUUUGAAACGUGAGCGCUAGCUUACGUGGAGGCGUUGGUGGGAUACUACCC